Molecule: non-coding RNA, 884 nt
Organism: Triticum urartu
Lineage: Eukaryota; Viridiplantae; Streptophyta; Magnoliopsida; Poales; Poaceae
Source: RefSeq, a predicted model, not a curated record
UUCAGAUUCAUCACUAUGUAGUAUGUUCAUGAAUAAAUGGUUUAUGAGAACUCUGAUCAAAUUGUUCUUAGGUAGUACAAUUUGUAACACGGAGACUGGAACAACUUUUGGUGGAUGAAGGAAUUAACUACGAAAUAGUCCGGUCAGUGCUUAUGGAGCGUGCAAACUGCCCUUAUCUAGCAUCACAAACGGCAGCUGAAAUGGAAGCUUUUUCAAGAACCGAAGUUUUUCCAAAAAUUGUCGAGGUGUAUUCAAGGCCAGUUCGAAUUAUACGUGGGAAGCAAAUUGAGUCUGCUUGGGAGGUUGACGCAAGCGCAUUCGAGAAAGAAGAAGAAAAGGCGUGGUGGAGCGCCUACUUGGAGGAGUCGACGUCAAAACCUUUGCCGAGGCCUCCCUGCUUCUGAUACAACCACUGGAGGAUUUCUUCAACAAUGUUUUCGUCAUGGCGGAAGACGAGAGGAUCCGCAACAAUCGGCUGGCGCUGCUGCAAAAGGUUACGAGUUUGACCAAGGGGAUCGCCGACCUCUCGGUUUUACCAAGGUUUUAGUUAGCCUUGGAGUGAGCCGGUGGUCGAGUUAGAGGGUACGUCCCAUUUUUGAGCUGGUGUCCUCAAGUUGGAGCCAGUUUUUGUUCUUCUUCUGUGUUGUGUUGCUGAUAUUAUUUGGGAUCCUCUUUGAUUGGAGGAUGGGGACCUAGGAAAAACCUAUUUGGCAUUCAUUUAGAUCUUACCAGUUUCAAGCAGAUCGGGCGGGUGCUCCCUGACGUUGAUAUUUGUUUGUUGGUGUAUAAAUUUUCUUUUAAGAAGAUUGAAACAGUUGGAGCUAGCCUUCCUUCUGUCUGUUUAAGAAGAGAGAUGUAUAAUAUGUAGACGGACAUACUCGUAA